This 553-nucleotide ribosomal RNA is filed under the name uncultured bacterium. RNAcentral describes it as "partial 16S ribosomal RNA". It matches the Rfam family "Bacterial small subunit ribosomal RNA", at positions 355 to 900 of the family's 1533-position model. The record is from RNAcentral.
UAGGGAAUCUUCCACAAUGGACGCAAGUCUGAUGGAGCAACGCCGCGUGAGUGAAGAAGGUUUUCGGACCGUAAAGCUCUGUUGUUGGUGAAGAAGGAUAGAGGUAGUAACUGGCCUUUAUUUGACGGUAAUCAACCAGAAAGUCACGGCUAACUACGUGCCAGCAGCCGCGGUAAUCGUAGGUGGCAAGCGUUGUCCGGAUUUAUUGGGCGUAAAGCGAGCGCAGGCGGAAGAAUAAGUCUGAUGUGAAAGCCCUCGGCUUAACCGAGGAAUUGCAUCGGAAACUGUUUUCUUGAGUGCAGAAGAGGAGAGUAGAACUCCAUGUGUAGCGGUGGAAUGCGUAGAUAUAUGGAAGAAUACCAGUGGCGAAGGCGGCUCUCUGGUCUGCAAACUGACGCUGAGGCUCGAAAGCAUGGUAGCGAACAGGAUUAGAUACCCUGGUAGUCCAUGCCGUAAACGAUGAGUGCUAAGUGUUGGGAGGCUUCCGCCUCUCAGUGCUGCAGCUAACGCAUUAAGCACUCCGCCUGGGGGAGUACGACCGCAAGGUUGAAAC